RNAcentral lists this ribosomal RNA (254 nucleotides) under uncultured bacterium. RNAcentral describes it as "partial 16S ribosomal RNA". It matches the Rfam family "Bacterial small subunit ribosomal RNA", at positions 524 to 776 of the family's 1533-position model. The record is from RNAcentral.
UACGGAGGGUGUAAGCGUUAUCCGGAUUUACUGGGUUUAAAGGGUGUGUAGGCGGACUAUUUAAGUCCGUGGUGAAAUCUCCGGGCUCAACCCGGAAACUGCCAUGGAUACUAUUAGUCUUGAAUGUUGUGGAGGUGGGCGGAACGGGUCAUGUAGCGGUGAAAUGCUUAGAGAUGACCCGGAACACCGAUUGCGAAGGCAGCCCACUACGCAACUAUUGACGCUGAGGCACGAAAGCGUGGGGAUCAAACAGG